Molecule: ribosomal RNA, 379 nt
Filed under: uncultured Actinobacteridae bacterium
Lineage: Bacteria; Bacillati; Actinomycetota; Actinomycetes
Description: bacterial SSU rRNA
Rfam family: Bacterial small subunit ribosomal RNA
Source: RNAcentral
CAGGUGGGUGAUCUGCCCUGCACUUCGGGAUAAGCCUGGGAAACUGGGUCUAAUACCGGAUAUGACCUCCUAUCGCAUGGUGGGUGGUGGAAAGAUUUAUCGGUGCAGGAUGGGCCCGCGGCCUAUCAGCUUGUUGGUGGGGUAAUGGCCUACCAAGGCGACGACGGGUAGCCGACCUGAGAGGGUGACCGGCCACACUGGGACUGAGACACGGCCCAGACUCCUACGGGAGGCAGCAGUGGGGAAUAUUGCACAAUGGGCGAAAGCCUGAUGCAGCGACGCCGCGUGAGGGAUGACGGCCUUCGGGUUGUCAACCUCUUUCAGCAGGGACGAAGCGCAAGUGACGGUACCUGCAGAAGAAGCACCGGCUAACUACGUG